RNAcentral lists this ribosomal RNA (500 nucleotides) under uncultured bacterium. Its description in RNAcentral is "partial 16S ribosomal RNA". It matches the Rfam family "Bacterial small subunit ribosomal RNA", at positions 30 to 523 of the family's 1533-position model. The record is from RNAcentral.
AUUGAACGCUGGCGGAAUGCUUUACACAUGCAAGUCGAACGGCAGCACGGACUUCGGUCUGGUGGCGAGUGGCGAACGGGUGAGUAAUGUAUCGGAACGUGCCAAGUCGUGGGGGAUAACGUAGUGAAAAUUACGCUAAUACCGCAUACGAUCUAUGGAUGAAAGCGGGGGAGCGCAAGACCCCGCGCGACUGGAGGGGCACAUAUCAGAUUAGGUUGUUGGUGGGGUAAAGGCCCACAAAGCCAACGAUCUGUAGCUGGCUGGAGAGGACGACCAGCCACACUGGAACUGAGACACGGUCCAGACUCCUACGGGAGGCAGCAGUGGGGAAUUUUGGACAAUGGGCGAAAGCCUGAUCCAGCCAUUCCGCGUGCAGGAUGAAGGCCCUCGGGUUGUAAACUGCUUUUGUACAGAACGAAAAGGUUUCUACUAAUACUAGGAGCUCAUGACGGUACUGUAAGAAUAAGCACCGGCUAACUACGUGCCAGCAGCCGCCGCCG